This 301-nucleotide ribosomal RNA is filed under the name uncultured bacterium. RNAcentral's name for it is "partial 16S ribosomal RNA". It matches the Rfam family "Bacterial small subunit ribosomal RNA", at positions 509 to 807 of the family's 1533-position model. The record is from RNAcentral.
CAGCCGCCGCGGGAAAACGAAGGGGGCUAGCGUUGUUCGGAAUUACUGGGCGUAAAGCGCACGUAGGCGGAUAUUUAAGUCAGGGGUGAAAUCCCAGAGCUCAACUCUGGAACUGCCUUUGAUACUGGGUAUCUUGAGUAUGGAAAAGGUGAGUGGAAUUCCGAGUGUAGAGGUGAAAUUCGUAGAUAUUCGGAGGAACACCAGUGGCGAAGGCGGCUCACUGGUCCGUUACUGACGCUGAGGUGCGAAAGCGUGGGGAGCAAACAGGAUUAGAUACCCCGGUAGUCCCUGUCUCUUAUAC